This 253-nucleotide ribosomal RNA is filed under the name uncultured Allobosea sp. RNAcentral describes it as "uncultured Bosea sp. partial 16S ribosomal RNA". It matches the Rfam family "Bacterial small subunit ribosomal RNA", at positions 524 to 776 of the family's 1533-position model. The record is from RNAcentral. Lineage: Bacteria; Pseudomonadati; Pseudomonadota; Alphaproteobacteria; Hyphomicrobiales; Alloboseaceae.
UACGAAGGGGGCUAGCGUUGCUCGGAAUCACUGGGCGUAAAGGGCGCGUAGGCGGACUCUUAAGUCGGGGGUGAAAGCCCAGGGCUCAACCCUGGAAUAGCCUUCGAUACUGAGAGUCUUGAGUUCGGAAGAGGUUGGUGGAAUUGCGAGUGUAGAGGUGAAAUUCGUAGAUAUUCGCAAGAACACCAGUGGCGAAGGCGGCCAACUGGUCCGAUACUGACGCUGAGGUGCGAAAGCGUGGGGAGCAAACAGG